RNAcentral lists this ribosomal RNA (993 nucleotides) under Acinetobacter sp. M.pstv.34.4. RNAcentral describes it as "bacterial SSU rRNA". It matches the Rfam family "Bacterial small subunit ribosomal RNA", at positions 33 to 1018 of the family's 1533-position model. Lineage: Bacteria; Pseudomonadati; Pseudomonadota; Gammaproteobacteria; Moraxellales; Moraxellaceae. The record is from RNAcentral.
ACGCUGGCGGCAGGCUUACACAUGCAAGUCGAGCGGAGUGAUGGUGCUUGCACUAUCACUUAGCGGCGGACGGGUGAGUAAUGCUUAGGAAUCUGCCUAUUAGUGGGGGACAACAUCUCGAAAGGGAUGCUAAUACCGCAUACGUCCUACGGGAGAAAGCAGGGGAUCACUUGUGACCUUGCGCUAAUAGAUGAGCCUAAGUCGGAUUAGCUAGUUGGUGGGGUAAAGGCCUACCAAGGCGACGAUCUGUAGCGGGUCUGAGAGGAUGAUCCGCCACACUGGGACUGAGACACGGCCCAGACUCCUACGGGAGGCAGCAGUGGGGAAUAUUGGACAAUGGGGGGAACCCUGAUCCAGCCAUGCCGCGUGUGUGAAGAAGGCCUUAUGGUUGUAAAGCACUUUAAGCGAGGAGGAGGCUCUUUUGGUUAAUACCCAAGAUGAGUGGACGUUACUCGCAGAAUAAGCACCGGCUAACUCUGUGCCAGCAGCCGCGGUAAUACAGAGGGUGCAAGCGUUAAUCGGAUUUACUGGGCGUAAAGCGCGCGUAGGCGGCCAAUUAAGUCAAAUGUGAAAUCCCCGAGCUUAACUUGGGAAUUGCAUUCGAUACUGGUUGGCUAGAGUGUGGGAGAGGAUGGUAGAAUUCCAGGUGUAGCGGUGAAAUGCGUAGAGAUCUGGAGGAAUACCGAUGGCGAAGGCAGCCAUCUGGCCUAACACUGACGCUGAGGUGCGAAAGCAUGGGGAGCAAACAGGAUUAGAUACCCUGGUAGUCCAUGCCGUAAACGAUGUCUACUAGCCGUUGGGGCCUUUGAGGCUUUAGUGGCGCAGCUAACGCGAUAAGUAGACCGCCUGGGGAGUACGGUCGCAAGACUAAAACUCAAAUGAAUUGACGGGGGCCCGCACAAGCGGUGGAGCAUGUGGUUUAAUUCGAUGCAACGCGAAGAACCUUACCUGGGCCUUGACAUAGUAGAAACUUUCCAGAGAUGGAUUGGUGCC